This 723-nucleotide ribosomal RNA is filed under the name uncultured Bacteroidales bacterium. RNAcentral's name for it is "bacterial SSU rRNA". It matches the Rfam family "Bacterial small subunit ribosomal RNA", at positions 65 to 776 of the family's 1533-position model. Lineage: Bacteria; Pseudomonadati; Bacteroidota; Bacteroidia; Bacteroidales. The record is from RNAcentral.
AGGGGCAGCAUUUUAGUUUGCUUGCAAACUGAAGAUGGCGACCGGCGCACGGGUGAGUAACACGUAUCCAACCUGCCGAUAACUCCGGGAUAGCCUUUCGAAAGAAAGAUUAAUACCGGAUGGCAUACGAAUAUCGCAUGAUAUUUUUAUUAAAGAAUUUCGGUUAUCGAUGGGGAUGCGUUCCAUUAGUUUGUUGGCGGGGUAACGGCCCACCAAGACUACGAUGGAUAGGGGUUCUGAGAGGAAGGUCCCCCACAUUGGAACUGAGACACGGUCCAAACUCCUACGGGAGGCAGCAGUGAGGAAUAUUGGUCAAUGGGCGAGAGCCUGAACCAGCCAAGUAGCGUGAAGGAUGAAGGCUCUAUGGGUCGUAAACUUCUUUUAUAUGGGAAUAAAGUUUUCCACGUGUGGAAUUUUGUAUGUACCAUAUGAAUAAGGAUCGGCUAACUCCGUGCCAGCAGCCGCGGUAAUACGGAGGAUCCGAGCGUUAUCCGGAUUUAUUGGGUUUAAAGGGAGCGUAGGUGGAUUGUUAAGUCAGUUGUGAAAGUUUGCGGCUCAACCGUAAAAUUGCAGUUGAAACUGGGAGUCUUGAGUACAGUAGAGGUGGGCGGAAUUCGUGGUGUAGCGGUGAAAUGCUUAGAUAUCACGAAGAACUCCGAUUGCGAAGGCAGCUCACUAGACUGUCACUGACACUGAUGCUCGAAAGUGUGGGUAUCAAACAGG